CAUUUUCAGAAAGAGAGAUGGAAAUGCACUGGAACUGGCAGAACAAAGAGAGCAAGUAAAGAGUGGAGCUGAGAAAACAUCUUAAUGGAAAUCCUUUACAUGCAUACUGGGAAGUGGAAAUGCUGCUGUGAAAAUGUCAACAAUCCCAAUUGCACGUGUCAUUUUCCUUUGUGUCUUUGAAUAAUGUAGCUUAUUUUGAAUAAUGUCCUAUGUCUAUAGAAAAGUAGAUGUCUUGGCUGCAGAAGAUGUAAGACAGAUUUAUCUGUGCCUCAACUGACUUUUUGAGGAAAGAAGUCUGAAGAACUUACACAAGUAGUGAUGACAAGACAUGAAACAUCAGAUAGGCCUUUGGUCAGAUCCAGUAGGACUCUUAUGUUCUUAUGUGUAAGACCA
Molecule: long non-coding RNA, 393 nt
Organism: Rhineura floridana
Lineage: Eukaryota; Metazoa; Chordata; Lepidosauria; Squamata; Rhineuridae
Exons: 3
Source: RefSeq, a predicted model, not a curated record